GAAAUCUGCUGUUACAGCCUGCGCGAUGCUCAAACAGGUUCAACGACAGAAGCCUACUUCACCCUCCUCUUAUAGGUCAUUACGGCAGUGGGAAAACGAAGGAGGAUGGACAUGUUCCACACGCAGCCUGAACUCGUUCUUUGGGAAGCAGCAUAUAUACCAGUACACUGAAAAGCAUGGAGCCGGAAAGCACAAGGAUGAUGGCUCUUCACGUCCGGUCACGUUUAGGAACUGAAGUUUUUCGAAGAUGAUUGCAGCCCAGAUACACUGGUCCGGGCUGAUAUACUUGCAAGCAUGCAGACCUCUGUUACCUACAGAGUGAGGACAGUGAUUGACAAAGCAACUGGAAAUAUC
Long non-coding RNA from Ornithodoros turicata, 354 nucleotides. RefSeq lists it as uncharacterized. The transcript is spliced from 3 exons. NCBI's taxonomy places the organism in Eukaryota, Metazoa, Arthropoda, Arachnida, Ixodida, Argasidae. The record is from RefSeq and is a predicted model, not a curated record.